Non-coding RNA from Schistocerca nitens (vagrant locust), 74 nucleotides. Lineage: Eukaryota; Metazoa; Arthropoda; Insecta; Orthoptera; Acrididae. The record is from the annotation of a RefSeq genome assembly.
GUGCAGGUGGCGUAAUGGUUAACGCAACUGCCUGAUAAGCAGGAGAUCACGGGUUCGAGUCCCGGUCCGGCACA